AAAAAAAAAAAAAACCAAAAAGAGUAGAUCUCCCCCCACAAUCCCUCUAUUUUUGGGUUAAGGGCUUGUAGUCAUCAUUAGUGUAAUUAAUUAUUUUUCAGAAAAUAUAUAGUAACUACUGAUCAACCUACUUUUUUUUUUUAUUACAUGCUUGUAUAUUAUUCAGUAAAUAUAUAAGAAGGAACGAGUAUUAUUUAUUUGUUGAAAAAAAA
RNAcentral lists this unclassified non-coding RNA (212 nucleotides) under Hevea brasiliensis (rubber tree). The record is from RNAcentral. Lineage: Eukaryota; Viridiplantae; Streptophyta; Magnoliopsida; Malpighiales; Euphorbiaceae.